Molecule: ribosomal RNA, 497 nt
Filed under: uncultured bacterium
Lineage: Bacteria
Description: partial 16S ribosomal RNA
Rfam family: Bacterial small subunit ribosomal RNA
Source: RNAcentral
GAUGAACGCUGGCGGCGUGCCUAAUACAUGCAAGUCGAGCGAACAGACGAGGAGCUUGCUCCUCUGACGUUAGCGGCGGACGGGUGAGUAACACGUGGAUAACCUACUUAUAUGACUGGGAUAACUUCGGGAAACCGGAGCUAAUACCGGAUAAUAUAUUGAACCGCAGGGUUCAAUAGUGAAAGACGGUUUUGCUGUCACUUAUAGAUGGAUCCGCGCCGCAUUAGCUAGUUGGUAAGGUAACGGCUUACCAAGGCAACGAUGCGUAGCCGACCUGAGAGGGUGAUCGGCCACACUGGAACUGAGACACGGUCCAGACUCCUACGGGAGGCAGCAGUAGGGAAUCUUCCGCAAUGGGCGAAAGCCUGACGGAGCAACGCCGCGUGAGUGAUGAAGGUCUUCGGAUCGUAAAACUCUGUUAUUAGGGAAGAACAAAUGUGUAAGUAACUAUGCACGUCUUGACGGUACCUAAUCAGAAAGCCACGGCUAACUACGUG